Molecule: ribosomal RNA, 325 nt
Filed under: Bipolaris sorokiniana
Lineage: Eukaryota; Fungi; Ascomycota; Dothideomycetes; Pleosporales; Pleosporaceae
Description: partial large subunit ribosomal RNA
Rfam family: Eukaryotic large subunit ribosomal RNA
Source: RNAcentral
ACAAGUAGAGUGAUCGAAAGAUGAAAAGCACUUUGGAAAGAGAGUCAAACAGCACGUGAAAUUGUUGAAAGGGAAGCGCUUGCAGCCAGACUUGCUUACAGUUGCUCAUCCGGGUUUUUACCCGGUGCACUCUUCUGUAGGCAGGCCAGCAUCAGUUUGGGCGGUGGGAUAAAGGUCUCUGUCACGUACCUCUCUUCGGGGAGGCCUUAUAGGGGAGACGACAUACCACCAGCCUAGACUGAGGUCCGCGCAUCUGCUAGGAUGCUGGCGUAAUGGCUGUAAGCGGCCCGUCUUGAAACACGGACCAAGGAGUCUAACAUCUAUG